UACCGCUCCAGUGGCCUAGUAGUUAGAGCAUCCACCUUAGGAGCUGGAGGUCUCGGGUUCGAACCCUGGUUGAGUAA
Potamilus streckersoni is the source of this 77-nucleotide non-coding RNA. Lineage: Eukaryota; Metazoa; Mollusca; Bivalvia; Unionida; Unionidae. The record is from the annotation of a GenBank genome assembly.